Molecule: small nucleolar RNA, 64 nt
Organism: Leptomonas pyrrhocoris
Lineage: Eukaryota; Euglenozoa; Kinetoplastea; Trypanosomatida; Trypanosomatidae
Rfam family: Trypanosomatid snoRNA TB9Cs1H3
Source: Rfam
UGCAACGCACUAUUGCUCCCUGUAUUGCGUGUAGAUGUGUACCGGGAUCCUGAGGUGUGUGAGA